UGGCGGGUGGGGCGGGCGCUGACCACCGGUUCGCUGCCGCUGGACCGGCUGGCCCGGCCGUUCGGCGACGACCCCCGCGACC
This 82-nucleotide transfer RNA is filed under the name Streptomyces griseoluteus. RNAcentral's name for it is "tRNA-Gly". The record is from RNAcentral. Lineage: Bacteria; Bacillati; Actinomycetota; Actinomycetes; Kitasatosporales; Streptomycetaceae.